Chiloscyllium plagiosum (whitespotted bambooshark) is the source of this 1467-nucleotide non-coding RNA. The record is from RefSeq and is a predicted model, not a curated record. Lineage: Eukaryota; Metazoa; Chordata; Chondrichthyes; Orectolobiformes; Hemiscylliidae.
CUCCAUUAAAACUGAACAGUUUGCAGGGCUUAAGAAUUGGCAGAAUCUGGUAUCGUUGUAGGUCAGUCAACCAGUUCACGUCCAUCUUGUGAAGAACAUUGAAUUGUUGGAUAUUACUUCAUUCUCAAAUUCAUUUAACUAUGCAAACUAAUGCAGGUCUGGAUACAUGCCUGAAGCCUUUCAAGGAUCGUGAUGAUGCCAAAUGAAAGGGAUGGAUACUUAACCGAGAGAAUCUUUUUUUCCAAAGAAUGGAAGGUGUAUUGUGUUGCUUGAUGCUUAGUGUGGUUUAAAUGCCAAGUCAUGGAAUGCUAUUAGCGUACAUGUGUCAUGAGAUUAUUCCACUUUUUUAAAACAUCCCAAUGUGGAAUUAGAGAUUUGUGGAGGGGUGCUUCUGAAAGUGAAGGCGUCACAUCUGAUCCAGUAUGGGCUUCUUCCAAUUAUGCCAUAGCUAAAGUUAAGUUUGAACUCUUUGCAAUGGAUGCUUAUAGACCAUUUUUAAUUUGUCUACUUUUUAGAAUGUUCAAUUGCACAAAGAUGCACUUUUUUUUUCUAACUACCAUCACUUUAAUUGUAAAUGACACUUAAGUUUUUUUUUUCACCUUUCAAAAUGGUAGCAUUCCACACUAGUGAUUCCUAUUUUCGAAGUUGACCUUUUUUGUUCUGGAAGGAUUUUGGAGAUGUCAGUGGUUGACCAGUACAGUAACUUGCAGUCACAAUGGUGUUUUUCAACAUUCACUACUGGAAUAACUCAUACGUGAAUGAUUUGGACUUGACAGUACAAGGUCUAAGCUUUGAAACUUGCCGAUGAUUAACUUGAAAGUGUAUGGUGAGAAAGGUGAUUAGCUUUUAAGGGGGCAUGGUUAGGCUGAUGCAAUAAAUUGAUAACUGACAGAAGUUACCGUGCAGAAAAACAUGAGGUCAUGUGAGGAGAAUACAAGGGAUAUAAUGCUGGCAUUUCCUUUUUUAAAUAUUGUAUUCAGAUCUGGGGCGAUUUUUGUGUUCAAAUCAUUUUGAAGUGGCAUAGAAUCCUGGGCUUUCUAAUUUGAGACACAGAACACAAAGGUCAUGAUGUUGUACUGACACCAGUUCAACAACCUCUGACAUUGUCACUUUUUUUAAAGUGCUGCAAUUUGAAGGCUACAAAGCUUAUGGAGGAGCUGUAGAAGAGGGGUCUAAAAUGGUUUGAGAUGAAUAAUUGGUGCCAUGAGCAGAUUGGAAGCACUCAGUUGGUGUUUUUUUGAGCAGAGAAUGUUUGAUUUUAAGUUCAAUUAAACUAUUAAAUGAAUAAAGUUUAAAAAUGAAACUUUUGGCUGAACAUUCUAAAAAGUCAGAUGCUGCAGUGCAUUUGUGAUGGUUUCAUUCCUCUGAGUGCCAGCCGCUAAUUAUAGUAUGGAGCACAAGCCAAGUUACAGUAGUUGUUUACUUCGAUCAUUCACUGCCUACGCAUUAAAUGUACUGAAGAUCAGA